AGCGCGGAGCGCCGCCGCGGCGCUGAAGCCGCCGAGGAGACGCGAGGCGCCGUGCGGCGGCGCGUUGUGCCGCGGCGAGGCCAUGGAGCGGCGCGUCCCCGUCCACGCCUUGCCCGAGGAGAUCCGAAAGAUGUCCCGGGAUGAGACAGUAUGUAAGUACUGUGGAGUCAGCUAUUUGAUACUUCAUGAAUUUAAGGUGAUGGAAGAAAAAGUAAAAGCAAUGGAAAAGGAGAUUAAAUUCUAUGAAGGAAGUCUAGAACGGGAAAAAAGACUUCAAGAAGAGUUGCAGACUCUUUGCCAAGACCUUGAACACAGUCGAGCUGACAGUCAGUCAAAAACAGAAAGAAUAAAAAACCUAACAAUGGAACUAAAAAACAAACAAGAUGAAUUAAAAAAUGUGAAAGAAGAUUUGCGAUAUUUCCGAGAAGAAAAGGAAGCUGCAUAUAAGCAGUCACAAGUGCUCAGAAAUACAUUGGAUCACCAUUGCUCAACUCUAAGCAAGGCGCUGUCGUUAUUUCCUUUUAUUAGAAGUGAACUAGACAGUAUUAAAGAGGUUGUGUCUGGUAAUCUAGAAAACUGGGCUGCCCUGAAAGAAGAAAUUUUUCUACAGAUAAAAGCUGUUAGCAAAGAAGCUUUGACAGAAAUAUCCAAACUGAAUCAAAGAUUAGCAAAAUCCCAGAGAGAGAAUGAGUCCCUCCAAGAAAAGGUGAAACAUCUGACUUUGGUGGCUGAUACAGUUGACUUGAAAACACAGCAGCUUCAAACUUCACUUCAGCAAGGGAAUGAGCUACAAAAUAGGUGUCAGGAACUACAAAAGGAAACAUUAGAUUUAACAAAUCAAGUAGAGAUAAUUGGACUCAAGCUUCAGAAAGUAACAGCUGAAAUGGACCACUACAAAAAGCUGCUGAUGAUGAAAUCAGCAGAAGUUGAUGUCUGUCAAAAUGAACUGAAAAAAAUGAAAUACGAAAAUGGAAUUUCUGAAUCAAGACUUACUAAAGAGCUAAAGGAAAAGGAGGAAUCACUAUUAAUCUGCCAGCAAGUAUGCAAACAUUUACACGAAGAAGUGGCUGAGAAAGAGAGGAAAGAAGAAGAUCUAAAAAGAAGAAAUAGUCGAUCAGAAAGUGAAGUAGAAACACUUAAAUCUCUUCUUAGACAAACUGAAGAAGAAGUGGUGAUGUUGAAACAAGAAAGGGAGUUAAUGCUGAUUUCUCAUCAGAACAGAACAGAGCAUCUGCAGGAAACGUUAAGACAGAAGAUGCAAAAUGAAGAUAACUGGAGGGAAAAGAUGGAACUUGACUUGGCUAAAGGAGAAGCGCAGCACAAAGAAGCUAUUCUUAAAGUCAAGGAAGAAGCGAGAAUGGAACUUGACACUGAAAGACAAAAACACCAAGAGUUAAUCACAAAAUAUCAGAGAGAUCAGGAAGAGCUCCAGAAGAAGAUACCUGAAUUAAUAUCCAGUGCCAUCAAUAGCUUAAGGACGGAAGUGGAAAUUCUUGAAAAGAAGCUACAAGAUGCCCAGAUCAAACUUGCAGAGAAAGAUGAAGAUAAGGAAAAAGAUAUUCAGAGCCUCAAAGGUAUAAUUACUGAGCUUGAAUUUCAGCUGAAGAUGGAAAGGAACAAUAAUGAAUCAUUUUUGGAUAAUAUGAGGAAAGAAAUCAAACAGAAGUCAGAUGAACUGGAAAAGUUAACAAAGGAGCGAACACAGCUGAUUCACAAUUUGAGUCAAGUUCAAGAGGAGAACACUCUUCUCCAGGAAACAGUGCGCAGAGAGUGUGAAGAACGCUAUGAGCUGACUGAAGCUUUGACUCAAGCCAGAGAACAAGUACUGGAACUAAAAAAGCUCAGUGGAAACUUCCCGUUAUCACAGUGUUCUCUUACCCAGGGCAGCCUAACCUCAUGUGCUGCUCUGGUCAAUAACUACGGACAGAAGAGCCGCCCAGGCCCCAACUCUGGGAAGGAAAUCAAUCUCUCAGGACAGUUCAGUAUUUCAAGAGCUCCUAAGGCACCCACCUCUAAUAAGCGUAACAGCAAUGGUAAUGUGGGUUUGCCGGUUCUAACCCCACCACCUCCUCCAAGAGGAAGGGCGUCUUCGGUGAACGAAUCCAGAAGCAGAAUUGCUGCAGUUAUAAGAAGACAGUUGAGUCAGCUCUGAUAGCUAAAAAUGCCAAGGACAGUGCAUUAGCCUGUGUGUAGAGCACUCGGAAAUCAUUUCAGUGCAUUAAAUGGCCAUUUACUUGUGGAGCCUUGGGGCCAAAUCUUAAAAAAUGUGAUUCAUGCAGUUCUACAACUUUAAGUUAAAUUUGUGUAACGUGCACUGUUGAUGCAAUAAUAUUUCUUUAUCCAUGGCAUACCGAUGUGAUUAAAUACUAUCUUCAUUUCAAGAUGAGGAAAGUAGAAAAGUAUUACUUCUCCAAGAGGAGCACAUCUUCAAUAGGGAAGAUCCUAGCUUCUUUGAGCUUGAAAAACAUUAUUCCAUUACCACCUGCAGUCUUCAUGUGACAAAGUAAUAGAAGUUCAUUAAGGCAGUUCUAAAAAUGCUGUCUCUCUUUGAAUGUAAAGCCUUCGUUGAGAGAGGAAACAUACCUGUAUGUGAAUCAUGGGAAGGUACAGGGCACUAUCCAAAGCCAAAGUGGGAAAAGGAGAACAGAGCCGUCACAGAGUUUCUGUCAUGAGAAGCAACGGAAGAGUGCCUCCAAUUUUUGUGUGUGCUUUCUAAAUGCUUGCUUUAAGGUGUUAGCCCAAGUAACUGUUUUGCAUUCACUGGGGACAAUUCCCCAACUUCAGCCUGGCUUUUACCCACCCCAUGUCCGUACAAUAGGUGCAAAUGAGGUAAAUUUGAAGAUGGAGCUUGGAGAAGUGACUAGGGCUUCAAGGCCUUACGCAAACAGGGUGUAUUUGCAGUGAUGCUUGGCUUCCAGUUGAAACAAGCCAGCAAUUAUUAGGCAACUGCAAUAUAGGGACUGCCCUCUUACAGCUAAAAGCAUGCAUCUCAGGAGAUAACACUGGCCGGGAUGGACAUGGCCAGUGUGCUGAAGAGGAGGAUAGCUUUGAACAAGGGACUGUCCUGCAGGACAGUAGGACAGUAACGCUGUUGGGGACAGUUCUUGGCUCUUCUCAAACUGUCCCAUAGUUAUUUCUCCAAAGGAACUUGUUGGUUCACUCUGAAAGACAGAAACUAAAAGGAAAGACUGAUAAACUUACUGUGUGCAGCCUGGACGAUCAGGAGAUUGGGACCCAGGGGAGGUCAGGGAGCAAAGUUCUUUGGCAGCAUUAGAAGUACCUGCUAUGUCCAGGUACUUCAUGGACUAGCUUGGAAAAGCCAAACCUAACUCAGAGUUCAUGACAGUCAGAGCCCCUGGUACAUACAGUGAGGGCCAAGCAUGUUAUUUCAAGCAUGAGGAGUCACUAAUGCAAAGAGAUGGCUGUAUCUCAGCAUCUUAGUAUCUUAUUGAAAAUAUGUGAAGCUAGAAACUGGAGCCAGACAAAAUGCCAUAUAUAUUAAAAUAAAUUAAUCAGAAGAAAAGAUAGACUUUCUUUUCAUUUGAAGAAACAGUUGUGCUGUGAGAUAUGCUGCUGUUUAAAUUUUUGAUUUGACUCAGCAUUUUAUAAUUGGU
Molecule: RNA transcript, 3614 nt
Organism: Rhea pennata
Lineage: Eukaryota; Metazoa; Chordata; Aves; Rheiformes; Rheidae
Gene: LEKR1
Gene name: leucine, glutamate and lysine rich 1
Exons: 14
Source: RefSeq, a predicted model, not a curated record